ACGCUCGACACCUACGGGUGGCAGCAGUGGGGAAUAUUGCACAAUGGGGGAAACCCUGAUGCAGCGACGCCGCGUGAGUGAGGAAGUAUUUCGGUAUGUAAAACUCUAUCAGCAGGGAAGAGAAUGACGGUACCUGACUAAGAAGCCCCGGCUAACUACGUGUCAGCAGCCGCGGUAAUCUGGAGGCGGGCUGGACAAGGC
RNAcentral lists this ribosomal RNA (201 nucleotides) under uncultured bacterium. RNAcentral's name for it is "partial 16S ribosomal RNA". It matches the Rfam family "Bacterial small subunit ribosomal RNA", at positions 328 to 538 of the family's 1533-position model. The record is from RNAcentral.